This 741-nucleotide long non-coding RNA is filed under the name Pan troglodytes (chimpanzee). Its description in RNAcentral is "long non-coding RNA NONPTRT013185". The record is from RNAcentral. Lineage: Eukaryota; Metazoa; Chordata; Mammalia; Primates; Hominidae.
UUAACACAUUUUAAUUUUUUUCCCACUCUAAGGUUGCUUACUUUUAAAAUUACAGGGUCCAGAGGAAUUACAAAAGAUAAAGCCACCGUUUCAUCAAAUCUGAAAGCAUUGUCAAAGUAAAUUUUUUACAAUAGCCAACCACCCAAGGAGGAGCUAAGUUAAAUCCAACAUUGAGCACCCCAUGGCACCUUGUUGGCACACUGUUUGGCUGCUAUUUUUGGGGAAACCUGCUGCUGUCUGUCGGUUUGAGCCAAAACCACAAUAACUUUAUUCUGCAAAGUAAUCAACUGUUAAGAGCGUACGUUCUGUCACUUAUUACUGGUAAAGUUUAGAAACUUCAAGCUUGGCCAGAGUAAAACAAACAAAAAGGUCGAAACGCCUGCAGUUGGCCGGCCGUGGUGGCUCACGCCUGUAAUCCCAACACUUUGGGGGGCCGAGGCGGGCGGAUCACCAGAGGUCGGGAGUUCUGGACCAGCCUAACUAACACGGUGAAACCCCGUCUCUACUAAAAAUACAAAAAAAUUAGCCAGGCGUGGGCGCAAGCUACUGGGGAGGCUGAGACAGGAGAAUCGUUUGAACCCGGGAGGUGGAGGUUGCAGUGAGCCGAGAUCGCCCCACUGCACUCCAACCUCGGCGACAGAGUGAGACUUCGAAUCAAGAAGAAAAAAAAAAAGAAAGAAACGCCUGCAGUUGGUUAGAGUGCCUUUGUUUAAGAACUUUUUAUAUUUUGCUGUACAAAGG